This 1010-nucleotide long non-coding RNA is filed under the name Macaca mulatta (Rhesus monkey). RNAcentral's name for it is "lncRNA (ENSMMUG00000049897.1)". The record is from RNAcentral. Lineage: Eukaryota; Metazoa; Chordata; Mammalia; Primates; Cercopithecidae.
GUCCGCAGCAUAUUUUUUUUUCCUCUUUUGCAAUGAAUAUUUGAUGCUCAGCGGGAUGAGCCCCAGGAUGAGACACACAUCCAAGAAAAAUCCAUGCCUCUCCAUCUUUUCCCCAGGAUUGCCCUUUGGCGAGACUCUCCUUUGCGAUUGCUUCGUAUUCCCCGGUUCAUCCAACAAACCUCUUCUUAGUCUCUUUUGUUGUCUCUUAUCUGUUCAACAAACACCCACUGCGCAGGACCAUCCUCCGGUAAGCCCUCGAGUGGGGCCGUUUGGCAGCCCUACUUCGUGGGGUGAGCACUGAAGGAACCGGGGCCCCAUAAGCCCGUGCUUUUGUGGGGGCUGCCCCCUCUCCCGUCGCAGGGUAACCGGCACCAGGCUGUUAAGCUGUGGAUGGACAACGGCACACCCCAUCGGGUGUGCGGAUUUCAGUACGUGGAGUUGGCCAGUGAAGUCAGCCGAGGCUGCAGAGAAAACUUGGGGGCGGGGGUCGAGGAAGCCGCGCCCCGGGGCUCCCAGUGCAGCCCCCAGAGGAAUCCUGCGGGCAACAACAAGCUGUGCGAGCGGCCGGGCUAGGCGCCGACAACAGCAGGAGCGGCCGGGCCUGCCGCGAGCCUCCGCGUCCAGGUAGGGUCUCCGCGCCCCAAUUCCAUCCCGCCCCGCCAUCGGCGCUCCCAACAAGUGCGGGGUUUCCACCCGCCCCGGCGUUCGCGCCCACUCACGGUCUCCCUUGCCCCCCCGGGAGAUGCUCCCCGCGUUCUAUUCCGCCCCGCCUUGGCGCGCCCAGCAAACGUUGUGACCUCACCCCCCUGCGGUCUCCCCCUCCCCUGACACUGCCCCUGCCCCCACCUGUGGCGCUCCGGGCAUCUCUAAAGCCCCCAACCAGCGUCCUCCAACCCACCCGCGAGGCUCGCGCACCAGCAACGCGACCCCACCCACAGGGACCCCGCCCACCUGUGGCGGUACCCCCGCAUCUGCGACCUCCCCCAUCGCUAGCGCGGCCCCUACCUACG